Molecule: microRNA precursor, 191 nt
Filed under: Oryza rufipogon (brownbeard rice)
Lineage: Eukaryota; Viridiplantae; Streptophyta; Magnoliopsida; Poales; Poaceae
Description: MIR812 microRNA precursor family
Rfam family: MIR812 microRNA precursor family
Source: Rfam by way of RNAcentral
GAAAAGACAAACCCUGGUUUCCGUGCCCAACGUUUGACCGUCCGUCUUAUUUGAAAAAAUUAUGAAGAAAAUUAAAAAGACAAGUCACACAUAAAAUAUUAAUCAUGUUUUAUCAAAAUACGAAUUAUAAAAAAAUUUCAUAUAAGACGGCCAGUCAAAGUUGGACACGGAAACCCAUGGUUUGCCUUUUU